This 2050-nucleotide long non-coding RNA is filed under the name Salmo salar (Atlantic salmon). RNAcentral's name for it is "lncRNA (ENSSSAG00000082613.1)". Lineage: Eukaryota; Metazoa; Chordata; Actinopteri; Salmoniformes; Salmonidae. The record is from RNAcentral.
GUAGUAGUGUAUAGGCUGGUGUGGUUGUGGUAGUAGUGUAUAGUCUGGUGUGGUUGUGGUAGUAGUGUAUAGUCUGGUGUGGUUGUGGUACUAGUGUAUAGUCUGGUGUGGUUGUGGUAGUGGUGUAUAGUCUGGUGUGGUAGUGGUGUAUAGUCUGGUGUGGUUGUGGUGUAUAGUCUGGUGUGGUUGUGGUGUAUAGUCUGGUGUGGUUGUGGUAGUAGUGUAUAGUCUGUUGUGGUAGUAGUGUAUAGUCUGGUGUGGUUGUGGUAGUAGUGUAUAGUCUGGUGUGGUAGUAGUGUAUAGCCUGGUGUGGUUGUGGUAGUAGUGUAUUGUCUGGUGUGGUUGUGGUAGUAGUGUGUAGUCUGGUGUGGUUGUGGUAGUAGUGUGUAGUCUGGUGUGGUAGUAGUGUAUAGUCUGGUGUGGUUGUGGUAGUAGUGUAUUUUCUGGUGUGGUUGUGGUAGUAGUGUAUUUUCUGGUGUGGUUGUGGUAGUAGUGUGUAUAGUCUGGUGUGGUUGUGGUAGUAUUGUGUAGUCUGUUGUGGUAGUAGUGUAUUCUCUGGUGUGGUUGUGGUAGUAGUGUAUAGUCUGGUGUGGUCUUGGUAGUAGUGUAUAGUCUGGUGUGGUAGUAGUGUAUAGUCUGGUGUGGUAGUAGUGUAUAGUCUGGUGUGGGUGUGGUAGUUGUGUGUAGCCUGGUUUGUUUGUGGUAGUAGUGUAUAGUCUGGUGUGGUUGUGGUAGUAGUGUAUAGUCUGGUGUGGUAGUAGUGUAUAACCUGGUGUGGUUGUGGUAGUAGUGUAUAGUCUGGUGUGGUUGUGGUAGUAGUGUAUAGUCUGGUGUGGUUGUAGUGUAUAGUCUGGUGUGGUUGUGGUAGUAGUGUAUAGUCUGGUGUGGUUGUGGUAGUAGUGUAUAGUCUGUUGUGGUAGUAGUGUAUAGUCUGGUGUGGUUGUGGUAGUAGUGUAUAACCUGGUGUGGUUGUGGUAGUAGUGUAUAGUCUGGUGUGGUUGUGGUAGUAGUGUAUAGUUUGUUGUGGUAGUAGUGUAUAGUUUGUUGUGGUAGUAGUUUAUAGUCUGGUGUGGGUGUGGUAGUAGUGUAUCGUUUGUUGUGGUAGUAGUUUAUAGUCUGGUGUGGGUGUGGUAGUAGUGUGUAGUCUGGUGUGGGUGUGGUAGUAGUGUGUAGUCUGGUGUGGUUGUGGUAGUAGUGUAUAGCCUGGUGUGGUUGUGGUAGUAGUGUAUAGUCUGGUGUGGUUGUGGUAGUAGUGUAUAGUCUGGUGUGGUUGUGGUAGUAGUGUAUAGUUUGUUGCGGUAGUAGUGUAUAGUUUGUUGUGGUAGUAGUUUAUAGUCUGGUGUGGGUGUGGUAGUAGUGUAUCUCUGGUGUGGUAGUAGUGUAUAGUCUGUUGUGGUUGUACUGUAUAGCCUGGUGUGGUUGUGGUAGUAGUGUGUAGCCUGGUUCUGGUGUGGUAGUAAUGUGUAGCCUGGUGUGGUUGUGGUAGUAGUGUAUCGUCUGGUGUGGUUGUGGUAGUAGUGUAUCGUCUGGUGUGGUUGUGGUAGUCGUGUAUAGUCUGGUGUGGUUGUGGUAGUAGUGUAUAGUCUGGUGUGGUUGUGGUAGUAGUGUAUAGUCUGGUGUGGUUGUGGUAGUAGUGUAUAGUCUGGUGUGGUUGUGGUAGUAGUGUAUAGUCUGGUGUGGGUGUUGUGUAUAGUCUGGUGUGGUUGUGGUGUAUAGUCUGGUGUGGUUGUGGUGUAUAGUCUGGUGUGGUUGUGGUGUAUAGUCUGGUGUGGUUGUGGUGUAUAGUCUGGUGUGGUCGUGGUGUAUAGUCUGGUGUGGUAGUGGUGUAUAGCCUGGUGUGGUUGUGGUAGUAGUGUAUAGUCUGGUGUCGUUGUGGUAGUAGUGUAUAGUCUGUUGUGGUUGUGGUAGUAGUGUGUAGUCUGGUGUGGUUGUGGUAGUAGUGUAUAGUCUGGUGUGGUUGUGGUAGUAGUGUAUAGUCUGGUGUGGUUGUGGUAGUAGUGUAUAGUCUGGUUCUGGUGUGGUCGUGGUGUAUAGUCUGGUGUGGUAGUGG